RNAcentral lists this ribosomal RNA (468 nucleotides) under uncultured bacterium. Its description in RNAcentral is "partial 16S ribosomal RNA". It matches the Rfam family "Bacterial small subunit ribosomal RNA", at positions 28 to 507 of the family's 1533-position model. The record is from RNAcentral.
GACGAACGCUGGCGGCGUGCUUAACACAUGCAAGUCGAACGGAAAGGCCCUGCUUUUGUGGGGUGCUCGAGUGGCGAACGGGUGAGCAACACGUGAGUAACCUGCCCUUGACUUUGGGAUAACUUCAGGAAACUGGGGCUAAUACCGGAUAGGAGCUCCUGCUGCAUGGUGGGGGUUGGAAAGUUUCGGCGGUUGGGGAUGGACUCGCGGCUUAUCAGCUUGUUGGUGGGGUAGUGGCUUACCAAGGCUUUGACGGGUAGCCGGCCUGAGAGGGUGACCGGCCACAGUGGGACUGAGAUACGGCCCAGACUCCUACGGGAGGCAGCAGUGGGGAAUAUUGCACAAUGGGCGGAAGCCUGAUGCAGCAACGCCGCGUGCGGGAUGACGGCCUUCGGGUUGUAAACCGCUUUCGCCUGUGACGAAGCGUGAGUGACGGUAAUGGGUAAAGAAGCACCGGCUAACUACGUG